GACGAACGCUGGCGGCGUGCUUAACACAUGCAAGUCGAACGGAAAGGCCCUGCUUUUGUGGGGUGCUCGAGUGGCGAACGGGUGAGUAAAACGUGAGUAACCUGCCCCUGACUGUGGGAUAACUCUUGGAAACUGGGGAGAAUAUCGGAUAGGAGCUCUUGCUGCACGGGGGGGGUUGGAAAGUGUCGGCGGUGGGGGAUGGACUCGCGGCUUAUGAGCUUGAUGGGGGAGUAGUGGCUUACCAAGGCUUUGACGGGUAGCCGGCCUGGGAGGGGGGCCAGCCUCCUUGGGCCUGCGGUACGGCGCAGACUCGUACGGGCGGCAGCAGUGGAGAGUAUUGCGGAACGGGCGGGAGCGUGAUGUGGCAGCGCCGCGAGCGGAAUGACGUCCUUCGGGUGGUAAACAGAUGUGUCCUGUAAUGAAGACUGCGUGACGGUAAUGAGUAAGAAAGCACCGGCUAACUACGUG
RNAcentral lists this ribosomal RNA (468 nucleotides) under uncultured bacterium. RNAcentral's name for it is "partial 16S ribosomal RNA". It matches the Rfam family "Bacterial small subunit ribosomal RNA", at positions 28 to 507 of the family's 1533-position model. The record is from RNAcentral.